AGUGAACGCUGGCGGUAGGCCUAACACAUGCAAGUCGAACGGCAGCACAGGAGAGCUUGCUCUCUGGGUGGCGAGUGGCGGACGGGUGAGGAAUACAUCGGAAUCUACUCUGUCGUGGGGGAUAACGUAGGGAAACUUACGCUAAUACCGCAUACGACCUACGGGUGAAAGCAGGGGAUCUUCGGACCUUGCGCGAUUGAAUGAGCCGAUGUCGGAUUAGCUAGUUGGCGGGGUAAAGGCCCACCAAGGCGACGAUCCGUAGUUGGUCUGAGAGGAUGAUCAGCCACACUGGAACUGAGACACGGUCCAGACUCCUACGGGAGGCAGCAGUGGGGAAUAUUGGACAAUGGGCGCAAGCCUGAUCCAGCCAUACCGCGUGGGUGAAGAAGGCCUUCGGGUUGUAAAGCCCUUUUGUUGGGAAAGAAAUCCAGCUGGUUAAUACCCGGUUGGGAUGACGGUACCCAAAGAAUAAGCACCGGCUAACUUCGUGCCAGCAGCCGCCGUAA
RNAcentral lists this ribosomal RNA (506 nucleotides) under uncultured bacterium. RNAcentral describes it as "partial 16S ribosomal RNA". It matches the Rfam family "Bacterial small subunit ribosomal RNA", at positions 29 to 523 of the family's 1533-position model. The record is from RNAcentral.